Molecule: long non-coding RNA, 2327 nt
Organism: Lycium barbarum (goji berry)
Lineage: Eukaryota; Viridiplantae; Streptophyta; Magnoliopsida; Solanales; Solanaceae
Exons: 6
Source: RefSeq, a predicted model, not a curated record
UUCUCCUCCCGCUUUCUCCCAAAUACCGGUUCCCUCCAAAUUCUAUUUUUCCAUUAAAUCAUAUUCCCUCGCAUUCAUGCCCAUUUCUCCUCAGACCUCUCGUCUCUGCCUCUUGUUUCUUCUAUGAACUAUUUUCUAAGGUUUAGUUUCGUUCUUUCUCUUUCUUUGUAUCUCUAUUACUUACGUUGUUUUAAUCUUUUGUGAAGUAUCCAACUGCAAAAUGCGAGAAUUAGCAGGCAAUUGCUAUUUUGCAAAUUCAGACAUUCAGCUUUCCAAAAUUCAUUCAAAACUCCUUCAGCAGGGUCCAAUAUAUCAGUUAUCAAUAUUGGUUAAGCAAGGAAAAUAUCAAUUGAGUUGAAUGACCAGAAGAUAACAAUUGUGUUGAAUGGCCAGUCUUCCAAUGUGGAGAGGUUCACCAUCUGUAAGUUGGAAGCUUAUUACAUAACAGUUGAGCCUCCUCUCAAACUGCAACUAUCCAUACGGAAAGGCGAAGAAAACAAUGGAAGAUAUAAUUCUAGAUUUUCAUAAGAACUCAAAUAUGGGUGUCAUGAUUUUGAGGUAGAUUGUUCUUGUACUCCUUUCUUUUUAGUUUGUAUUUUUCAUGCUGGUGUGAAUUGAUCCUUACCUUUCCCUUCAUUUUUUGGUUGUUUCUAUCUAUUUUUAUUUUCACAUGCUUGUUCAUGAUAUUUGGUACAUUAUUUGUUAUGUCAACCCGCUUAGUAUAUUUUCUGGUCAUCUAUCUUCUAAUUGACAAGGCUAGAUAACUAUUUAACUUUCCUAUUACUGAAGUCUCAUGAUGAUGUUGUGAACUAACUGAUCGAAGUAUCUCUUCAGUUGUAAAUAUUUACCUUCUCAAAGAAAUGCUCUCUUCAAUUGCUUUCCAUGCCUUUUCAUUGUUCUUUACCAACUAAACUACAAGCUUGCACUUCUUUGAUGUCUGUAAAUUCAUAUAUUUUCUUGUGUUACUUUUUUUGUUGUAUGCCGAUAAAAUUACCUUCACUUUAUUUAUUUGUGAAAUCAGAACUAUUAUAUUAGAUAUUUAUUGCUAUUUAGAAAUUUUAAUUAUAUAUCUCAGGUAGAUAUGGUGUCAUAAAGCUAAAUCACUGUCUGAAUUGUUGGGCCCGGUGCUUGGCAACAAAUCAUCUUGUAUUACUAAAUAUGCAUUGAUUUGCAGGCCAAGUUUGUUAAUGUAUUGAUUUCUCUCUUUCUUUUGAAGCAGAUUGGUUGUAUUACUUGAAUUUUGGCAGCAAUUUAGUUUGUUAACUCUUUGGGUAAGCUAUGUUGUGUAAGUCUAAGUCAUAGGAUUAGGUGUAUUGAUUGGGAACAAUGAACGUAGCUGGCUCAGUGACAUCUUCCUAUGUGACUACAGGUAGAUGGAAUACAUAUCUAGAAUCACAACUUACAUAAAUAGAUCAUGGUUUUCUUGACAAACUGAUUGCACGUGGAUUUUCCUUAUCCCUGGAACUACUUUUUACAGAAACUGACAACAAUAUCUAGGAACAAAAAAAGGUCCCUCUCAUUUUUAUUGUGAGAAUUGAUUCGGCAGUCUACUUUUCCAACUCCAACUGCAUGCAAGGCAGGUACUAGUUAUUAAACUGAAAGAAACUAAUCAAGCAAAGUUACCCGCAAGGGCGGUUCAGUUGGUUGAGCAUGGGGCUUUUAUAACGGAGGUCUCAGGUUUGAAAUCCCCUGCCUACAACAGUAGGGGAUUUGCCUUCUGGGUCGAGCUCGUCACACGGGGCUUGUCUAGUGCGGGUUAUCUCUUCUGUGUGUUUUGCGAGCUAUUGCACAGGAGCUGGGUUUACCCUGUGUUCACUCGAAAGGUAACAGCUGCGGGUUCCCAUGUCAUAAAAAAAAAAAAAAAACUAAUCAAGAAAAGGUUCGAUAGAUGAGAUGUCAAUUACUAGUACAUACUAGUGAAAUUCAUGUCUGAAAAGACUUAUUCAAAUCCCCUGAUCAAGAAAUGAUAUGUUGAAGACAAAAUACAAUUAGACGCAAUAGAUGAUGGUUAAGCUAAUCAAGAGCUGUUGUCUCAAACUUCAAUCAAGGAAGGAUGAAUUUCUUCAACAACUGGAAAUAAAGGCAGCGCAACUAAGAGUUUGAAGACAAAGUAAAAGUUUGGAGACAUAUUAUGUUAUUUUUUUGGGUUAUGCAUAUAUACAAAGAAAAUGUAUUAUAAUGUGUACUUUGUAUAUAUUAUGUUUGACUUUUUAGCAAUGAGAUAUUCUUAUAUAAUUCUAUUUUCCAGAAUCACCUGCUUAUUGUAUUAAUUAUGACAAUUUGCAGUGACAAUUUUAUUUUGUCAGUAAAAGCAAUAUUUUUGGUGA